Molecule: ribosomal RNA, 440 nt
Filed under: uncultured bacterium
Lineage: Bacteria
Description: partial 16S ribosomal RNA
Rfam family: Bacterial small subunit ribosomal RNA
Source: RNAcentral
CCUACGGGUGGCAGCAGUGGGGAAUAUUGCACAAUGGGGGAAACCCUGAUGCAGCGACGCCGCGUGAGUGAAGAAGUAUUUCGGUACGUAAAGCUCUAUCAGCAGGGAAGAAAAUGACGGUACCUGACUACGAAGCCCCUGCUAACUACGUGCCAGCAGCCACGGUAAUACGUAGGGGGCAAGCGUUAACCGGAUUUACUGGGUGUAAAGGGAGCGUAGACGGCAGCGCAAGUCUGGAGUGAAAUCCCAUGGCUUAACCAUGGAACUGCUUUGGAAACUGUGCAGCUAGAGUGCAGGAGAGGUAAGCGGAAUUCCUAGGGUAGCGGUGAAAUGCGUAGAGAUUAGGAGGAACACCAGUGGCGAAGGCGGCUUACUGGACUGUAACUGACGUUGAGGCUCGAAAGCGUGGGGAGCAAACAGGAUUAGAUACCCUGGUAGUC